Alligator sinensis (Chinese alligator) is the source of this 631-nucleotide long non-coding RNA. RefSeq lists it as uncharacterized. Lineage: Eukaryota; Metazoa; Chordata; Crocodylia; Alligatoridae. The transcript has 4 exons. The record is from RefSeq and is a predicted model, not a curated record.
UCUUUGCAAAACAUCCAUGGGUUUCUCUGGUAAGAUGAGAAAUCUGCAUUUUCCUCCAGAAAAAAGGGAAAAUCCGUGUUUUGCUCCAUUUUCCUGUGGGAAAUGGAAACCUCAGAUCCCUGCUGUUAACACACAGCGCAAGUAAAUCACCACACACAGGAUAUUUUCAUAAGGAAAAAGGACUGUCACGUGGAAAGGUAGAAGUACUGGAUCAAAAACCAUGUAAAAAACAAUGACCUGAUGAUGAUCAUCAUCUAUCACCUAGCAGCUAGAAUCUUGUGACCUUCAAGCAUGUCGUAAAGCAUAUAUGUUUUCCCAGACAGAUGAAAACAGGAAGAACCGAGAAAGAAGAUACAGGUUAGCCAAGGAACUGAAGGUUGCAUACUUCAAGAGAGGGAGUGGGCAGAACUGCUAAAUAUCUCCUGGAAACUGCUAAAUAUCUCUUACCAUUGUGGCACUAGAACAGGAAGAAUUGCUAAUCCCAGACACAGGAGGAAAGAGGCUGGAGAAGGUUCCAAGGGCCUCGGCUACACACCAACUUUGUGGAAAUGGGAGGCUCCUUCCUAGCUUGCUCCUGCAGCCAUAUGACCGAGGGCAAGUGAAACGGACAUCCAAACCCGAGGCCUCCUGG